Molecule: unclassified non-coding RNA, 396 nt
Filed under: Hevea brasiliensis (rubber tree)
Lineage: Eukaryota; Viridiplantae; Streptophyta; Magnoliopsida; Malpighiales; Euphorbiaceae
Source: RNAcentral
CUGCAACACAACUGAUCCACAGAAAUAGCGCCAUGUUAAAGGGAUUCUUGAUCCAGUUUCUGGAGAUGUUCCAUAAAUAUGCCCAAUCAAUUUUUUGAGCCACAAUUCCAUUGAAGCGUUCUCGUAAACCUUGGCUAGCUGAAGAAGGCACAGAACGUGAUAUUUCAUCUCUUUCCUCUGCAAUCUGCCUGAAUUUAGCCGAUGGAGAAACUAGACUGCCAUCAGAACUAAAUUGCAGUAUAUUUAGUCUCGUAGAGAUUAUUUUCAACUUAUCUUGCUUCCCGAUGCAAGGAUUGUCAUCACCAAGCAGCGCCUUCCGAGAAGUUGAAAUGUUAAGAGUGUCAAAACCAUUUCCAGUCGUUUUCAGAUUGAAAUCUUCCUUAACAUCUGCUACCC